Long non-coding RNA from Tarenaya hassleriana, 999 nucleotides. RefSeq lists it as uncharacterized. Lineage: Eukaryota; Viridiplantae; Streptophyta; Magnoliopsida; Brassicales; Cleomaceae. The record is from RefSeq and is a predicted model, not a curated record. The transcript has 3 exons.
AUGAUGAUGAUGGGGCAGCGGCAGCCCACGUGUUGGCCCAAAUAUAAUAUGACGACCCAUUAAGCGGUGUGGGACGACGUCGUUUAGACCCAAAGUCGCCGUUCAGUAUCCGCCGUUGGUUUAGAGAUCAAUGAAGGAAUAGCAGCCGUUCGAUAGGCGCCCCACGAUUCCACUCAGCAAUAGUGGAAUUGGAUUCCAUCAGGGAACAACAAGACAAGUCCAGCAUCGUUAUUCUGUGGAUUCGGAGCCGCUACUCUGAUCGCGCGAAUUUCUCGCUCCGGCGACUUGGUUCCGAAAAUCGAAGUUUUCCGGCGAAAAUCCUAGGAAGUGAAGAUGUGUCAGUUAGCCAGGAAGAAGACAAGAAGCCCGGCGACACAUCAAUCUCAAGGUCAAAGGCCAGGUUGUGUGACGGGUAACUUUCUUCGUUCAUCUGUUCCGUGUUAGUGGUCACGGGUUCGGGUCCCGAACCCCCUUUGUGCACCGGACUGCCUUUGUUCUGGUUUAUUGGGAAUGUUGUUAGCAAAGGCUACUUCAUGUACUUAUAUACAGAGACGGCAUUGAAUUUAUUUUCUUGGUCGGGAGAGAAGCACUCUACUGAAAAAGCUGACCGGCAGUCUGUUGAUACCAACUCAAUUGCUUUCUUGUUUGACGGGCGUCGUCUCCGUGGGGAGCAGACUCCCGACAAGGUUCGGUUUAUCUCUUUUGAUUCCACCAUUUAGACUCUCCUUCUCUCACAAUUUCAACUGCAAUGGCAUUUCUACUAGCCCUAAUCUUUGAUACUACAGCUUGAGAGGGAAGACGGUGAUGAGAUCGAUGCCAUGCUUCACCGAGGUUCUAUGGCCUGAUAACAAUUUUCUAGGGUUCUUUUUUUUUCUGUUAUUGUUUGAUGUAAAUGGAUAUCAUUGGACAAAAUGUAGGAUUUGCAGGUCAGUUGUAUAGCCCUUCGGUUCUACAUUUUUGAAUCAUUUGUGUUAUUCACAUGCCAAUCCGGUUCGGUUU